RNAcentral lists this unclassified non-coding RNA (395 nucleotides) under soil metagenome. RNAcentral's name for it is "partial contains 5.8S ribosomal RNA, internal transcribed spacer 2, and large subunit ribosomal RNA". The stretch from base 1 to 120 matches the Rfam family "5.8S ribosomal RNA", at positions 35 to 154 of the family's 154-position model. The record is from RNAcentral.
GAUGAAGAACGUAGCGAAAUGCGAUAAGUAAUGUGAAUUGCAGAAUUCAGUGAAUCAUCGAAUCUUUGAACGCACCUUGCGCCUUUUGGUAUUCCGAAAGGCACACCUGUUUGAGCGUCAUGAAUACCUCAAUCUCCAUCUUUUCUUCGGAUUGAUGGGUGACUUGGAUGUUGAGCCCUGCUGGUAUGCUAUAUCAGCUGGCUUUAAACUUAUUAGCCGGUUCUGUACUGGAUCGGUUUGACUCGACGUGAUAAUAUUAUCGUUGAGGAUGCAUGUCUCAUGCAGCCGGAAAGUAUCAAAGCAGCUUCUAGCUUGCCUUUAGUGCACUUUUACAUUUUAGACCUCAGAUCAGGUGGGACUACCCGCUGAACUUAAGCAUAUCAAUAAGCGGAGGA